CGCGCUGAGGGGUCUGGGCGCUGUCCGGGCUCUUCCAGGGAAGCUCGGGCAGCUCUUCCCGCAGCGCUGGGGAUCCCGGUGUCCCUCUCACCCGCUGAAUCACACGCAGGACGGGUCAGGCCGGAAGGGAGCACGGCGAGUCUCCUGGUGCCACCUCCCUUCUCAUCCCAGAGCACAUGGCGCAGGGCUGUGUCCAGACGGGUCUGGGAUAUCUCCAGGGAGGGAGACUCCGCGACCCCUCUGGGCAAUCUGUGCCCCUGCCUGGCCACUCGUACGGUGAAAAAGUUCCUUGUUUUCAGGUGGAACUUCUGUCCAUGGGUUCCUGCCCCUUGCCUCCCAUGUCCUGGUGGUUGGCACCACCGAGCAGAGUGUGGCUCCAUCUUCUUGGCAUCCCUUCUUCAGAGCCCACAGCGCUCCAAAUGUGGUCUCACCUGGGCCGAACAGAGCUGCAGGAUCGCCCACCCCAAUGCCCGGCUCUCAGCAGCCCUAUAAUGACAGGGGUGGUUACAUCUUCCCCUGUAAUGCCUUCCCACGGUGCUCAGCAUCACUGUGCCACCAGCAAGACCAUGCAGAAGGUGGUGUGUGUCCCAUUCCUUGUGUUAUCUGGAUUCAAGAUACUAAUUUGUUAUUUUAGAGAACUAAAAGCUCUAAACUAGAGAACUAAAGCACUGAGAACUCCUCAGUGAGGAGAGGAAGUGAGGAUUUGCAGUCUUUAAAACCUCAUACAAAGCAGCCAGCCGGCCUCCAUCACGCGGAUUCCUGGACUGAAACACAAAGCUGGGCGCUGUGGGGCUGUGUCCCUGCCACAGGAGCGGCUCAGGCAGAGUUCCCAGCCGGAGUGGGAGGAAGCAGGAGGGAGCGACAGGCAGUCUGCUCGGCUCCUGCUGCCCUUCCUGCCCCGGCAAGGCACAGCCACCGCUUCCUUCCUCCUGCCUUGGGGUGAGAACAGCUCUGUGUGCCUUGGAUGUGGUCCAUUCCCGGGUGAGGAUCCCUUCUGCCCUCAUUCCCACCUCUUUUAAAUCUCUGGGCUCUUUAGUAGCUGAGCACAGGUAGCCCUGGGCUUGCAGCAGCUGGCAGGAGGGGGAUGAUGCUUGCAGAGCUUUGGGAAAGCAGCAGAGGGAUGUCCCUGCCUCUCUUCCACGUGGGUUGAUUUAGCAGAGUCUUGGCCAGGAGGAAUCCCCCAGAUUUUAAGCAAAGAGCACAUCCUGGCCUGAGCUUCCCAAAGGUGCCAGUGGUCCAGCAUCCCGAGCAGAGGCAGGGAAGGGGAACAAACCCCAUCUGCAGAGGUGCCUCCUCAGCAUGGGAACGGGAUACCCGGCUUUUGCAAUGCCAGCACCUUUCCUCACGCUCACCCUGGGCUGGGAAGGCUGUGGCACACGCUGAACCGGUUUCUGCACUUCUUGGGGUGAGAAAUCCACCCCCUGCUCCAGCCAGCCCCACGCCAGGAGUGGAACAACAGGUGGCAGCUUUAGGGCUGGCAUUUGCUGGCCCUUCCUUGCUGAGUUUGGGAUGACUUUCCCACGCCGGCAGGAUUUGGGGUGUCCUUGCCAAAUGUGUGCUUAGCAUGGGAGGUUCCCUCCAGGAACAGAGUUCCAAGGAGUUGCUGGUCCAGUUUGUCUCUCCCUGUCCCACAAAGACCUUGUGCUCCCCAAAAACCUCAUGAUCCUCCCAUGACUUCCACCUGUGCCUGAAACCUUUGCUGCACUGGGAAUGGAAAACGUCCUGUAGCCUCAUAGAAUUACUAGCCAGGAAUUUCAGAAAUCCUUCAAUAAAUUCUGUGAACGCUUUA
Molecule: non-coding RNA, 1789 nt
Organism: Cyanistes caeruleus (blue tit)
Lineage: Eukaryota; Metazoa; Chordata; Aves; Passeriformes; Paridae
Source: RefSeq, a predicted model, not a curated record